Long non-coding RNA from Bos taurus (domestic cattle), 968 nucleotides. Lineage: Eukaryota; Metazoa; Chordata; Mammalia; Artiodactyla; Bovidae. The record is from Ensembl.
CUCCUCCCCAACGAGCCAUUAAGGAGCCCAAGAGUGGCCUGCAGUCCGCAGUCCCGGAAGGGAGACAGUAUUUAGUGGUUGUGCACUGUGCAGAGAUGUUUCCCAUAGGGUCCCACAGUGAUCCCGGAACCGCUGCGAAACCACAGGAAAACCUCCACCCACCAAGCCAAGUAUUACACCAAAGCACCCCCAGACCGGACAGCACAGGAACGUGGGGGUGGAUCAUCACCCACGACAGAGGAGCCGAUGAAACUCCCAGAGUACUUGGGAAUCCACCUGCCAAUGUAGAGGACAUGGGUCUGAUCCCUCGCCCAGGAAGAUCCCACAUGCUGCAGAGCAACUUAGCCCAAGUGCUGUAAGUACUGAGCCUGUGCUCUCGAGCUUACAAGCUACACCUACUGAAGCCGACACACCCCAGAGCCCGUGCUCCCCAACAAGAGGAGCCGCCGCAGUGAGAAGCCUGUGCACCUCAACUAGAGUGACCCCCGCUCGCCGCAACAAGAGAAAGGCCAAGGGCAGCAACAAAGGCCCAGGGCAGCCACAAAUACAUAAAUCAAUAAAUUUUUAAGAGGAUGUGAACAUUAGGGGGAAGUUGGACUAUCUUUGCAACUUUUCUGUAUAAACCUAAAAUUAUUCCAAAAUAGAAGAGUUAUUAAGAGAGACCUGGAAAAGGAAAUGGCUACCCACUCCACGACUCUUGCCUAGGAAAUCACAUGGACAGAGGAGCCUGGCGGGCUACGGAAUAUGGAGUCACAGAGAGCCAGACACAACUAGGCAGCUAACACUUUUGCCUUCACUUUUUCCUUCAAUUCUAACUCAUCAACAUCAAGACGCUGUUAUCUGUCCAGGUCAGGUGACAGCUUCCUGACUGAGGACAUAGCUGUUGAUGGCUGAUGUGUGUUGUACAAGAUCACUUGUGCAAAUAUGUAUUUUGUCUGAAAUUUUGUUUAAAAAAUUUAUUUACAAUG